This 810-nucleotide ribosomal RNA is filed under the name uncultured bacterium. Its description in RNAcentral is "bacterial SSU rRNA". It matches the Rfam family "Bacterial small subunit ribosomal RNA", at positions 29 to 835 of the family's 1533-position model. The record is from RNAcentral.
AUGAACGCUAGCGGCAGGCUUAAUACAUGCAAGUCGAGGGGCAGCACGGUUAGCAAUAACUGGUGGCGACCGGCGCACGGGUGCGUAACACGUAUACAAUCUACCUUAAACAGGGGGAUAGCCUUUCGAAAGAGAGAUUAAUACCCCGUAAUAAAUUGAAUGGCAUCAUUUGAUUUUGAAAGCUCCGGCGGUUUGAGAUGAGUAUGCGUCUGAUUAGCUAGUUGGUGAGGUAACGGCUCACCAAGGCAACGAUCAGUAGGGGAUCUGAGAGGACUAACCCCCACACUGGUACUGAGACACGGACCAGACUCCUACGGGAGGCAGCAGUAAGGAAUAUUGGUCAAUGGGGGCAACCCUGAACCAGCCAUGCCGCGUGCAGGAUGAAGGCCCUAUGGGUCGUAAACUGCUUUUAUACAAGAGAAAACCCGAGUACGUGUACUCGGUUGAUAGUAUUGUAAGAAUAAGCAUCGGCUAACUUCGUGCCAGCAGCCGCGGUAAGACGAAGGAUGCAAGCGUUAUCCGGAUUCAUUGGGUUUAAAGGGUGCGUAGGCGGACCUGUAAGUCAGUGGUGAAAUCUCUUUGCUUAACAAAGAAACUGCCAUUGAUACUGCAAGUCUAGAGUAUAGAUGACGUUGGCGGAAUAUGACAUGUAGUGGUGAAAUACUUAGAUAUGUCAUAGAACACCGAUUGCGAAGGCAGCUAACGAAACUAUAACUGACGCUGAGGCACGAAAGUGCGGGGAUCAAACAGGAUUAGAUACCCUGGUAGUCCGCACCGUAAACGAUGAUUACUCGUUGUUGGCAAUAUGAC